Molecule: long non-coding RNA, 1790 nt
Organism: Apis laboriosa (Himalayan honeybee)
Lineage: Eukaryota; Metazoa; Arthropoda; Insecta; Hymenoptera; Apidae
Exons: 3
Source: RefSeq, a predicted model, not a curated record
AAAGGUUUAAUAGUUCAUAAUAUAAUAAUCAAUAAUUAUGUGAGAAAUAUUAAAUAUUAUUUCUAUUAAACAAAAUUUACAUAGACAUAAUAAUAUGCAUUAGAUAAUCAUUCUAAUAUCCUGAUCAUGAAAUGCAGGUAUAAAAUAGAAAUCUGGUCUGGUUUCGAGCAUGGUUUAGUUAGAUGUUCAAAAUGAUGAAUACGAAAGUUUAAUUAAUCGAUUGGAUGCACUGAAUCGUUAAUUCGUUAUGAAAAGUUUAUGAAAUAAACGUAUAUGUUAUUUUGUAACUGGACGAUAUGUCCGAUGUUAUUGAUAGAGACAAAAAAUAAAAAAAAAAAUUGUUUUAUAUGAUAUUACUAAAAUCGAAAAACAAAGAAAAUUUUAAGGACACGUGAAUUUUUCGAAUGAUAUACAGAUUUUUUUAUAAAAAGUUAGUCAAAAUUUUGAAAAAUAAAAAAUAUAUUGCGAUAAAUUGUUUUUACGAUAAAUAUUUAUUGAAAAUGUUAAUUUAUUAUGUUCAUUUUUCUCUAAUCUAAUCAUCAAUACGAUUGAUUCAAUUCACGUAUCCUUUUAAUUUCUUCAUUCUCCGAAUAGUAAACCCUAUAGAAAUACGAUGUAGUUUACAAAACUGUGAUGAAAUCUUUUGUCAAUCACAUGUAUAUAUAUUGUCAAUAUCUUUUUUAAACAUCUCAGAGGUACUCACAUACUGCUCAAACAUAACGUACCCCAAGCUAGAAUUAAUACCGAAAAAAUGCUUUGUAGCGCCCCCGUUAUGUUCACUUAGAAUUAAACGCUUUCAAAAAUUCGCGCCAUCCUUCAAUACUUCGAUAGUCAUAUGAACUAUCACAUCUAUACUAGAUAAUAGUAGUAUAAUAAUAGAUGAUAGUAAAUAUUGAAUAAAAUAAAACGUUUGCAAAUUCAUAAUAUUGGGAAUGAAUUUGUUUCGCUUAUAUGUAUAUAAUUGAAUAACUUAUAUGACUUUAAAAUAGCUUGUUAUGAUUAAACAUUAAUAAUUUUCUUUUGAUGGCAAAACUAUUUUCAUAAGCGAUAUGUAUUGAAUCAUGCGAGAGGAUGUAAUCGAUAAAUCGUUUGAAGGUUAUUACGAUUGUAUUCUGAAUUUUGUUGAAAAAUUCGCGUAAUGAGAUUAUUACCCUGAUAUUCGUGCAGAUAAAUAGAAAUGAGGAAACAGAACAGGAAUUUUAAUUUGCUUCGAGUAUGUCUACAAUUCUGUGAUUUUUCGAUGGUACGCAAUCACGGAUUUUUCGAAAAUAGCACCAUUUCUAUAGUAAUAAUUUUCAAGAACGAUGGGAUCAAUCCGUGGAACCGUGGACAACAUCACUGCUCUCCAUUCGCCAUGAUGCUACACCGCCGCCCCCGCGCGUUCUGUGUACAGCAGCCACCGAUAGAGGCGACGGUGGUAGCAGGUGGUAGUAGCCAGUGACUUCAAAGAUACGGAUUCAGACACAAUGCUCGACUCGACCCACAUUCCAUCGAAGGUGUAAGGACAUGAUCAAUUGGGUCACAAAAAAACCGGUGUUGAUAUUUUCAAGUUCCUUCGUUAGAUUCUUACAAUUGGUUAAUAAUCAAAUAUUAAUCAAAAAUAGUAACGCAAUCUGUUGUGGAUUACGGUAAUUUUUAAGAUUACUUGCGGAUUGUAUUGCCAAGGAUGAUAAUGUCUUUUUAUGGAAAAAAAUCAAACGAUUACGUGGAAAAAUUAUUUCUUAUAUUUUUUUUCUCUGUUAAUUUUUUUUUUAUUUUUAUAUUUCAGAAUGGAAAGAUUGCAAAUUUUC